Molecule: ribosomal RNA, 434 nt
Filed under: uncultured bacterium
Lineage: Bacteria
Description: bacterial SSU rRNA
Rfam family: Bacterial small subunit ribosomal RNA
Source: RNAcentral
UACGGAAGGCAGCAGUGGGGAAUAUUGCACAAUGGGCGAAAGCCUGAUGCAGCUAUGCCGCGUGUAUGAAGAAGGCCUUAGGGUUGUAAAGUACUUUCAUCGGGGAGGAAAAAACAAAACUAAUAAUUUUAUUUCUUGACGUUACCCGAAAAAGAAGCACCGGCUAACUCCGUGCCAGCAGCCGCGGUAAUACGGAGGGUGCUAGCGUUAAUCAGAAUUACUGGGCGUAAAGAGCACGUAGGUGGUUUUUUUAAGUCAGAUGUGAAAUCCCUGGGCUUAACCUGGAACUGCAUUUUGAAACUGAAAUACUAGAGUAUCGUAGAGGGAGGUAGGAAUCUAGGUGUAGCGGUGGAAAUAGCGUAGAUAUCUGGAGGAAGUACCUGUGGCGAAAGCGGCCGUCCUAAACCGAAUAACUGACACUGAGGUGCGAAAGC